Molecule: long non-coding RNA, 205 nt
Organism: Oreochromis niloticus (Nile tilapia)
Lineage: Eukaryota; Metazoa; Chordata; Actinopteri; Cichliformes; Cichlidae
Exons: 2
Source: RefSeq, a predicted model, not a curated record
CAACACACUGAGGGCAAUGUGGGCACAAAGUCAGAAGAAAAAUUGAUUGAAUUAAUACCAUUAAUAAUUUCAUGCAGUAGAGAAAAACAUAUUUGGAAACAUAUUUACGUAUUUUUAACACCUGGAUUAAAAUGGCACUCUGCGGGUGUGGUGAGACCCACCCUCACUGUCCUCCCUCCAUCCAAAGAGGAAGACAAACAGAGUA